UGCCAGCCGCCGCGGUAAUACGGAGGGUGCAAGCGUUAAUCGGAAUUACUGGGCGUAAAGCGUGUGUAGGUGGUUCUUUAAGUCGGAUGUGAAAGCCCCGGGCUCAACCUGGGAAUUGCAUUCGAUACUGGAGAACUUGAGUUUAGCAGAGGAAAGCGGAAUUCCGGGUGUAGCGGUGAAAUGCGUAGAUAUCCGGAGGAACAUCAGUGGCGAAGGCGGCUUUCUGGGUUAAAACUGACACUGAGGCACGAAAGCGUGGGGAGCAAACAGGAUUAGAUA
RNAcentral lists this ribosomal RNA (279 nucleotides) under uncultured bacterium. RNAcentral's name for it is "partial 16S ribosomal RNA". It matches the Rfam family "Bacterial small subunit ribosomal RNA", at positions 506 to 784 of the family's 1533-position model. The record is from RNAcentral.